This 301-nucleotide ribosomal RNA is filed under the name uncultured bacterium. RNAcentral describes it as "partial 16S ribosomal RNA". It matches the Rfam family "Bacterial small subunit ribosomal RNA", at positions 509 to 807 of the family's 1533-position model. The record is from RNAcentral.
CAGUAGCCACGGGAAUACAGAGGGUGCGAGCGUUAAUCGGAUUUACUGGGCGUAAAGCGUGCGUAGGCGGCUUUUUAAGUCGGAUGUGAAAUCCCUGAGCUUAACUUAGGAAUUGCAUUCGAUACUGGGAAGCUAGAGUAUGGGAGAGGAUGGUAGAAUUCCAGGUGUAGCAGUGAAAUGCGUAGAGAUGUGGAGGAAUACCGAUGGCGAAGGCAGCUCCCUGGGCCAAUACUGACGCUCAUGCACGAAAGCGUGGGGAGCAAACAGGAUUAGAUACCCCAGUAGUCCCUGUCUCUUAUAC